GUAGAUGUAUUGACGCCAAAAGUUUUUAUUGGUUUGAUUGUGGGUGCAAUGCUUCCUUACUGGUUUUCUGCCAUGACAAUGAAUAGUGUGGGAAGUGCAGCUCUGAAGAUGGUUGAGGAAGUCCGCAGGCAAUUCAACAGCAUCCCUGGUUUGAUGGAGGGUACUACCAAGCCUGACUAUGCUACCUGUGUUAAGAUCUCCAC
This 203-nucleotide unclassified non-coding RNA is filed under the name Hevea brasiliensis (rubber tree). The record is from RNAcentral. Lineage: Eukaryota; Viridiplantae; Streptophyta; Magnoliopsida; Malpighiales; Euphorbiaceae.